UACGAAGGGUGCUAGCGUUAUUCGGAAUUAUUGGGCGUAAAGGGCGCGUAGGCGGUCUGUUAAGUUUGUUGUUAAAUCUUCCGGCCUAACCGGAAAACUGCAACAAAAACUGGCGGACUAGAGUGUAGGAGAGAGAAGUGGAAUUCUUGGAGUAGCGGUAAAAUGCGUAGAUCUCGAGAGGAACACCGAUGGCGAAGGCAGCUUCUUGGCCUACUACUGACGCUGAGGCGCGAAAGCGUGGGGAGCAAACAGG
This 253-nucleotide unclassified non-coding RNA is filed under the name uncultured bacterium. RNAcentral describes it as "contains 16S-23S intergenic spacer region". It matches the Rfam family "Bacterial small subunit ribosomal RNA", at positions 524 to 776 of the family's 1533-position model. The record is from RNAcentral.